Raphanus sativus (radish) is the source of this 490-nucleotide long non-coding RNA. RefSeq lists it as uncharacterized. The record is from RefSeq and is a predicted model, not a curated record. The transcript is spliced from 3 exons. NCBI's taxonomy places the organism in Eukaryota, Viridiplantae, Streptophyta, Magnoliopsida, Brassicales, Brassicaceae.
CCAUAGGAUAAAUAAUGGUUGAGAGAUUGAAGAUGCUGAGAAUCUCGUCUUGUAGAAAGAUGGAUCCUUGUCCUGGACCUAAGAAGUUGCUCCGGCUCUCAAGAGUUUACAACUCACAAGGCAGCACCUACUCUGUCUUACCAAUUAGCGACUGUGUCUUGGGUAAAGAGGAAUGGUGAUUAGAGCCAACAAGCAUAUGGAUUUUCUGACACUUGUAACUAAGUGGUGUUGAAGAUGAGGAAGUAAGCAACAUAAUAAAAGAUGACAAUGUUCAACGAAGCUGUUUAAGUAAUUGGUAAAGGAUGCUUGUGAGAACCGUGAGAUACACUCGUGGAAGCUUCUUACUCUGGUUUGAAUAUAUUAGUCUCAUAAGAGGAGGCAUUGACAAUCAAAGCAGCAUGGAAAUCGUGGUACUUUGAUUAGGCAUUGUUAACUUCACAAAAUGGCUCGUGCUAGCCAGUAAUUAUAUUAUCUUCUUUAAGUAAAGUUU